This 102-nucleotide transfer RNA is filed under the name Candidatus Nitrososphaera gargensis Ga9.2. It matches the Rfam family "tRNA". From Rfam's summary of the family: Transfer RNA (tRNA) molecules are approximately 80 nucleotides in length. Their secondary structure includes four short double-helical elements and three loops (D, anti-codon, and T loops). Further hydrogen bonds mediate the characteristic L-shaped molecular structure. tRNAs have two regions of fundamental functional importance: the anti-codon, which is responsible for specific mRNA codon recognition, and the 3' end, to which the tRNAs corresponding amino acid is attached (by aminoacyl-tRNA synthetases). tRNAs cope with the degeneracy of the genetic code in two manners: having more than one tRNA (with a specific anti-codon) for a particular amino acid; and 'wobble' base-pairing, i.e. permitting non-standard base-pairing at the 3rd anti-codon position. The record is from Rfam by way of RNAcentral. Lineage: Archaea; Thermoproteati; Nitrososphaerota; Nitrososphaeria; Nitrososphaerales; Nitrososphaeraceae.
GGGCCGGUAGUUUAGUCCGGUAGAAUACCUGCCUUGCAUGCUGGCUGGCAAUGGCAGCAGAGGAGACGUAGGUGGUCGUGGGUUCAAAUCCCACCCGGUCCA